This 825-nucleotide long non-coding RNA is filed under the name Mus musculus (house mouse). Its description in RNAcentral is "long non-coding RNA chr2:4613109-4613934". Lineage: Eukaryota; Metazoa; Chordata; Mammalia; Rodentia; Muridae. The record is from RNAcentral.
AAAACGUCCAAAAGGAAACAAAGAACAAGACAAGGUUACAUGGUUACAGGUUAUAACAGAGACAGCAGUUUGAAAAUUGAUUCUGAAGUCCUUCGGAUCUAUGAGAGAUGCAGAAAGAAUCUAAAUGUAAUAGAUUUGGGGAGCAGAGGGAAACGGAAUGGGAGCUGUGAACACCAUCACGAUAGUCUGGCAGUAAGGACAGAGAUUUAAGUAAAACAGGUUUUACUGUUUAGCUGUGUUCGGUUAAUACACUGUACAUAAUAUAAUACGCAUUAGUCCUUUGAGACUGACAUAAUAAAUGGUCGCUGUGGUUGGUGAUGAACGCUCUAGGUAUUGUAUCCAAGCACCUGCAGAUUCUUUACACAUCCCUGUUUCUUUUAAGGGAGAUGAAGUCCCCAGUUUAAAGCCCCUAUUGGAUUCGUUGGAUACAUGUAAGAAAUUGCUUGUUUCAGCCAGAAGACUAUGUUGUGAGCCAGGUUGGUUUAUUUUGUUAUAUGCAGGUGAGUGUUGGAGUGUUCAAAGCCCAAUUUGUUUUCAUCCAGUAUUAGUUUAGUUCUAAAUAUAGCAAGCCUCACCCAGGUGCUAUCAGAUGACCAAUUACUGCUUAGUUAACUAGGUGUAAAGUUUUACAUAUCCAUUCAUGUCAAUAGUUUAUUACAAGUUGUGUAAAACGGACUCUAGUUUAAUAAUUGGGGGGGUGGUAAGAUUAGGUUGCUCCUGAAACUGACUGUAGAGCAUGUAAAAUGAUUUUACUGGAUUCUGUUCAACUGUAAUCAAUGACAAAGAUGUAUGUUGUAGACAAAGUUGCAGAAUUAAAAAAAAAAG